CGAACGCUGGCGGCAGGCCUAACACAUGCAAGUCGAGCGAACCCUUCGGGGUUAGCGGCGGACGGGUGAGUAACGCGUGGGAACAUGCCUUUCGGUUCGGAAUAGCCCCUGGAAACGGGGAGUAACACCGAAUACGCCCUUCGGGGGAAAGUUUACGCCGAGAGAUUGGCCCGCGCCUGAUUAGGUAGUUGGUGGGGUAACGGCCUACCAAGCCGACGAUCAGUACCUGGUUUGAGAGGAUGAUCAGGCACACUGGGACUGAGACACGGCCCAGACUCCUACGGGAGGCAGCAGUGGGGAAUCUUGGACAAUGGGGGCAACCCUGAUCCAGCCAUGCCGCGUGAACGAUGAAGGCCUUAGGGUUGUAAAGUUCUUUCGCCGGUGACGAUAAUGACGGUAGCCGGAGAAGAAGCCCCGGCUAACUCCGUGCCAGCAGCCGCGGUAAU
RNAcentral lists this ribosomal RNA (446 nucleotides) under uncultured bacterium. RNAcentral's name for it is "bacterial SSU rRNA". It matches the Rfam family "Bacterial small subunit ribosomal RNA", at positions 30 to 524 of the family's 1533-position model. The record is from RNAcentral.